RNAcentral lists this ribosomal RNA (490 nucleotides) under uncultured bacterium. RNAcentral describes it as "partial 16S ribosomal RNA". It matches the Rfam family "Bacterial small subunit ribosomal RNA", at positions 28 to 507 of the family's 1533-position model. The record is from RNAcentral.
GAUGAACGCUAGCGGCAGGCCUAAUACAUGCAAGUCGAACGGGAUCCAGAUCAAAGCUUGCUUUGGUCUGGUGAGAGUGGCGCACGGGUGCGUAACGCGUGAGCAACCUACCCUUGUCAGGGGGAUAGCCCGGCGAAAGUCGGAUUAAUACCGCAUGGCAUCAUUGAGAGGCAUCUUUCGAUGAUCAAAGAUUUAUCGGACAAGGAUGGGCUCGCGUGACAUUAGCUAGUUGGUAAGGUAACGGCUUACCAAGGCUGCGAUGUCUAGGGGCUCUGAGAGGAGAAUCCCCCACACUGGUACUGAGACACGGACCAGACUCCUACGGGAGGCAGCAGUAAGGAAUAUUGGUCAAUGGACGGAAGUCUGAACCAGCCAUGCCGCGUGCAGGAAGACGGCCCUAUGGGUUGUAAACUGCUUUUAUACGGGAACAAACGUCGGUACGUGUACCGGUCUGAGUGUACCGUAAGAAUAAGGAUCGGCUAACUCCGUG